UGAAGAGGUUGUUUUUCAGAUAGCAGAGUGGCGCAGCGGAAGCGUGCUGGGCCCAUAACCCAGAGGUCGAUGGAUCGAAACCAUCCUCUGCUAUGGAGUGUGCUUUUUGCUCCUUCUCAUUACUCCGUACAACGCACGGCUUGAUGAGCUGUGCCAUGUGCGAACCCUGGAUCCGAGCUGGCGAACCGUGGGCCACCAAAGGAGAAUGUCUGUGCUUAACUGCUGUGCCACCAGGCUGCCCGGUUGUGAACAUUUUUGUAUGAGAGUCUUGCGGUCAGAUGCAUUCUUUUUUCUUGGCAUGGCUUGCCAAGCGGUGCCAUGUCCCAACCCAAGAUCCGAACCAGCGAACCUCGGGCCACCGAAGCAGAAUGUGCGAACUUAACCGCUGCACCACCAGGCCAGCCCCCAGAUGUCAUGUUAUGUGUUCUUAGUACACACAUUCACACACAACACACACAGAAAAGGACACAAGG
RNAcentral lists this long non-coding RNA (473 nucleotides) under Equus caballus (horse). RNAcentral's name for it is "lncRNA (ENSECAG00000058205.1)". The stretch from base 22 to 93 matches the Rfam family "tRNA". The record is from RNAcentral. Lineage: Eukaryota; Metazoa; Chordata; Mammalia; Perissodactyla; Equidae.